GUGUAAUUUUAUUAAUGGCCGCGGUACCUUGACCGUGCUAAGGUAGCACAAUCAGUUGGCUCUUAAUUGGGGUCAGGAAUGAAUGGAGUUACGGAGUUUUACUGUCUCCUAGUUAAUUAUUCAAAGUUACUAUCUAGGUGAAAAAGCCUAAUAAAAGAAAGGGGACGAGAAGACCCUUAGAGUUUGACUUAUAAUAGACCUUAGAAAUUGUGUUUAUAAUGGUUUAGUUGGGGCAACGUAGGAGCAAUAUAGAAAAAUAAAAUCUCCUAAAUUUUAUUAACCGAUAUUUUUAAAUUUGGAUAAACUACCUUAGGGAUAACAGCAUAAUUUAAUAAAUAAGUUUGUGACCUCGAUGUUGGACUAGGAAACUUAAAGGCUAGCCGUCUUUAAGGAAAGUUCUGUUCGAACUAUAAUUCCU
RNAcentral lists this ribosomal RNA (418 nucleotides) under Doriprismatica stellata. RNAcentral's name for it is "partial 16S ribosomal RNA". It matches the Rfam family "Archaeal large subunit ribosomal RNA", at positions 1988 to 2665 of the family's 2987-position model. The record is from RNAcentral. Lineage: Eukaryota; Metazoa; Mollusca; Gastropoda; Nudibranchia; Chromodorididae.